This 894-nucleotide ribosomal RNA is filed under the name uncultured bacterium. RNAcentral describes it as "bacterial SSU rRNA". It matches the Rfam family "Bacterial small subunit ribosomal RNA", at positions 8 to 916 of the family's 1533-position model. The record is from RNAcentral.
AGAGUUUGAUCAUGGCUCAGGAUGAACGCUGGCGGCGUGCCUAACACAUGCAAGUCGAACGUGAGGAGUGGCUUCGGCCGCUCUGAAAGUGGCGAACGGGUGAGUAACACGUAGGUGACCUGCCUCGAAGUGGGGGAUAAACCACUGGAAACGGUGGCUAAUACCGCAUGGGCCUGUGGCUGCGGGAGCGGCGAUGGGUAAAGGGUUUACUGCUUCGAGAGGGGCCUGCGUCCGAUUAGCUGGUUGGUGGGGUAAUGGCCUACCAAGGCGCAGAUCGGUAGCUGGUCUGAGAGGACGAUCAGCCACACGGGAACUGAGACACGGUCCCGACUCCUACGGGGGGCAGCAGUGAGGAAUAUUGCGCAAUGGGGGCAACCCUGACGCAGCAACGCCGCGUGGAGGAUGAAGGUCUUCGGAUUGUAAACUCCUUUUCUUGGGGAAGAGCAAGGACGGUACCUGAGGAAUAAGUCACGGCUAACUACGUGCCAGCAGCCGCGGUAAUACGUAGGUGGCAAGCGUUAUCCGGAAUUACUGGGCGUAAAGCGCACGCAGGCGGCCUUUUAAGUUUGACGUGAAAGCUCCCGGCUUAACUGGGAGAGGUCGUUGAAGACUGGAAGGCUUGAGACGAUGAGAGGGGUGCAGAAUUCCCGGUGUAGUGGUGGAAUGCGUAGAUAUCGGGAGGAAUACCAGUGGCGAAGGCGGCACCCUGGCAUCGGUCUGACGCUCAUGUGCGAAGGCGUGGGGAGCGAACGGGAUUAGAUACCCCGGUAGUCCACGCGGUAAACGAUGAACACUGGGUGUGGGGAGCGUAAAGCUGUCCGUGCCGAAGCCAACGCGUUAAGUGUUCCGCCUGGGGAGUACGGCCGCAAGGCUAAAACUCAAAGGAAUUGACGG